UACGUAGGGUGCAAGCGUUAAUCGGAAUUACUGGGCGUAAAGCGUGCGCAGGCGGUUCUGUAAGACCGGUGUGAAAUCCCAGGGCUUAACCUUGGAACUGCAUUUGUGACUGCAUAGCUAGAGUACGGUAGAGGGGGAUGGAAUUCCGCGUGUAGCAGUGAAAUGCGUAGAUAUGCGGAGGAACACCGAUGGCGAAGGCAAUUCCCUGGACCUGUACUGACGCUCAUGCACGAAAGCGUGGGGAGCAAACAGG
This 253-nucleotide ribosomal RNA is filed under the name uncultured bacterium. RNAcentral's name for it is "partial 16S ribosomal RNA". It matches the Rfam family "Bacterial small subunit ribosomal RNA", at positions 524 to 776 of the family's 1533-position model. The record is from RNAcentral.